RNAcentral lists this non-coding RNA (259 nucleotides) under Chloroflexota bacterium. Its description in RNAcentral is "Chloroflexi bacterium T-box sequence". It matches the Rfam family "T-box leader". Rfam says of the family: Uncharged tRNA acts as the effector for transcription antitermination of genes in the T-box leader family. Lineage: Bacteria; Bacillati; Chloroflexota. The record is from RNAcentral.
UAAAAAGCUGUGACGGAGAAGAGUAAGGUCGUCUGAAAAGUAUUCAGCGAAUCUGGUACGGUGUGAGCAGAUAUACUUCCCGCCCUGAAAAUCCCUCCCGAGCUUCCGACUGAAAAACCUGGUAGGGUAAAGUAAGUUUGGACGGUCCCGUCAGCCGUUAUCCUUGACGAGGGCAUAAAUCGUGUCCUUAAAGAGUGCUCCCCGAUUUAUCGGGGAGAAUUUGGGUGGUACCGCGGGAAUUUAAAGUCUCGUCCCUUAA